This is a long non-coding RNA of Chlorocebus sabaeus (green monkey), 573 nucleotides long. RefSeq lists it as uncharacterized. The record is from RefSeq and is a predicted model, not a curated record. Lineage: Eukaryota; Metazoa; Chordata; Mammalia; Primates; Cercopithecidae.
UUCGCCAUGUUGGCCAGGAUGGUCUCAAACUCCUGACCUCAAGUGAUCCGCCCGCCUUGGCCUCCCAAAUGUUGGGAUUACAGGUGUGAGCCACUGCACCCACCUAAAUACUCUUGAGCGUUAACCAGAGUUUAACUUUUUCAUUCCAUUCCCAUAUGUGUGUCCUUAUUUCUCCACAGCCUCAACACCGAAUACAUUUGUUUUUAAAACUUUUUCCAGUGAAAGCUAAAAAGAAACUGGUUUAUUCUCUUCUGAACAAGGCUCUCAAUCUGUUACCCAAGCUGGAGUACAGUGGCAUGAUCAUAGCUCACUGCAGCCUUAAACUCCUGGGUUCAAGUGAUCCUCCAGCUUUAGCUUCCUGAGUAGCUGGGAUUAUGGGCACCAGCCUCCAUGCCUGGCUUCAAUUGCUUUCUCUGAUCUGUGUUGGUUAAUACCUCCAAUAAAAUAUAGUAAUGGAGAUCACAGGCACUGGUCCUGACUUCAGGGGCAAUAGGAAUAAUUCCUACUAGAAGCCUCAUUUUUCUGACAUACUCCUAGGCAAAUAAAUCAUAAAACUGUUCUAAGGAAGAAAAA